RNAcentral lists this microRNA (19 nucleotides) under Monodelphis domestica (gray short-tailed opossum). RNAcentral describes it as "mdo-miR-12389-5p". Lineage: Eukaryota; Metazoa; Chordata; Mammalia; Didelphimorphia; Didelphidae. The record is from miRBase by way of RNAcentral.
GCUGGGAAGGCGGCAGUAG